GAUGAACGCUGGCGGCGUGCUUAACACAUGCAAGUCGAGCGAGAAACUACAUGCAGACACUUCGGUAGAAGCGAGUAGCGGAAAGCGGCGGACGGGUGAGUAACGCGUAGGCAACCUGCCCUUCACAGAGGUAUAGCCUCGGGAAACCGGGAUUAAAACCACAUAAAAUCAUAGGUUCGCAUGAACCAAAGGUCAAAGAUUUAUCGGUGAAGGAUGGGCCUGCGUCUGAUUAGCUGGUUGGUAGGGUAAAAGCCUACCAAGGCGACGAUCAGUAGCCGACCUGAGAGGGUGAUCGGCCACAUUGGAACUGAGACACGGUCCAAACUCCUACGGGAGGCAGCAGUGGGGGAUAUUGCACAAUGGGGGAAACCCUGAUGCAGCAACGCCGCGUGAGAUAUGAAGGCCUUUGGGUUGUAAGCCUCUGUCCUAGGGGAAGAAAAAAAUGACGUACCCGAGGA
RNAcentral lists this ribosomal RNA (458 nucleotides) under [Eubacterium] saphenum. RNAcentral's name for it is "bacterial SSU rRNA". It matches the Rfam family "Bacterial small subunit ribosomal RNA", at positions 28 to 485 of the family's 1533-position model. The record is from RNAcentral. Lineage: Bacteria; Bacillati; Bacillota; Clostridia; Peptostreptococcales; Anaerovoracaceae.